GGGCGCAGCAGGCBCGAAACCUUUACAAUGCACGWAAGUGUGAUAAGGGAAUUCUGAGUGCUCAUGCAAAGCAUGGGCUUUUGCCAAGGGUAAAAACCUUGGCGAAUAAGUGGUGGGCAAGACUGGUGCCAGCCGCCGCGGUAACACCAGCGCCACUAGUGGGAACCAGAUUUAUUGGGCCUAAAGCGUCCGUAGCCGGUUUGGUAAAUCCUUUGUGAAAUUGUCAAGCCCAACUUGACAGCGUGCAGAGGAGACUGCUAGACUAGGGACCGGGAGGAGUGUGAGGUAUUCCUUGGGGAGCGGUAAAAUGUUAUAAUCCUUGGAAGACCACCUGUGGCGAAAGCGUCACACUAGAACGGAUCCGACGGUGAGGGACGAAAGCCAGGGGAGCGAUCCGGAUUAGAUACCCGAGUAGUCCUGGCCGUAAACUCUGCGAGUUAGGUGUUGCAUAUUCUUCGCGAAUAUGCAGUAUCGUAGCGAAGGCGUUAAACUCGCCGCCUGGGAAGUACGGUCGCAAGGCUGAAACUUAAAGGAAUUGGCGGGGAGCACUACAAGGGGUGCGGCGUGCGGUUUAAUUGAAUUCAACGCCGGAAAUCUCACCAAGGGCGACAGCAGGAUGAAGGUCAGAUUAAAGGUCUUACCUGACGCGCUGAGAGGUGGUGCAUGGCCGCCGUCAGCUCGUGCCGUAAGGUGUCCAGUUAAGUCUGGCAACGAGCGAGACCUGUAUCCACAAUUGCUAAUGCUCUUUUUAGAGGGUAUGCACAAUGUGGGGACUGCCUUGGAAACAAGGAGGAAGGCGCAGGCAACGGUAGGUCUGUAUGCCCCGAAUCCCUUGGGCUACACGCGCGCAACAAUGGUAGGGACAAUGGGAUGCAACUCCGAAAGGAGAAGCUAAACCUCUAAACCCUAUCUAAGUUCAGAUUGAGCUUUGAAACCCAGGCUCAUGACGACGGAAUCCCUAGUAAUCGGACGUCAACAUCGUCUGGUGAAUAUGUCCC
RNAcentral lists this ribosomal RNA (998 nucleotides) under uncultured euryarchaeote. Its description in RNAcentral is "bacterial SSU rRNA". It matches the Rfam family "Archaeal small subunit ribosomal RNA", at positions 328 to 1329 of the family's 1478-position model. The record is from RNAcentral. Lineage: Archaea; Methanobacteriati; Methanobacteriota.